AUUGAACGCUGGCGGCAGGCCUAACACAUGCAAGUCGAGCGGAUGAAGGGAGCUUGCUCCUGGAUUCAGCGGCGGACGGGUGAGUAAUGCCUAGGAAUCUGCCUGGUAGUGGGGGACAACGUUUCGAAAGGAACGCUAAUACCGCAUACGUCCUACGGGAGAAAGCAGGGGACCUUCGGGCCUUGCGCUAUCAGAUGAGCCUAGGUCGGAUUAGCUAGUUGGUGGGGUAAAGGCUCACCAAGGCGACGAACCGUAAAUGGUCUGAGAGGAUGAUCAGUAACACUGGAACUGAGACACGGUCCAGACUCCUACGGGAGGCAGCAGUGGGGAAUAUUGGACAAUGGGCGAAAGCCUGAUCCAGCCAUGCCGCGUGUGUGAAGAAGGUCUUCGGAUUGUAAAGCGCUUUAAGUUGGGAGGAAGGGUUGUAGAUUAAUACUCUGCAAUUUUGACGUUACCGACAGAAUAAGCACCGGCUAACUCUGUGCCAGCAGCCGCCGUAA
RNAcentral lists this ribosomal RNA (500 nucleotides) under uncultured bacterium. RNAcentral describes it as "partial 16S ribosomal RNA". It matches the Rfam family "Bacterial small subunit ribosomal RNA", at positions 30 to 523 of the family's 1533-position model. The record is from RNAcentral.